RNAcentral lists this ribosomal RNA (497 nucleotides) under uncultured bacterium. Its description in RNAcentral is "partial 16S ribosomal RNA". It matches the Rfam family "Bacterial small subunit ribosomal RNA", at positions 28 to 507 of the family's 1533-position model. The record is from RNAcentral.
GAUGAACGCUGGCGGCGUGCCUAAUACAUGCAAGUCGAGCGAACAGACGAGGAGCUUGCUCCUCUGACGUUAGCGGCGGACGGGUGAGUAACACGUGGAUAACCUACCUAUAAGACUGGGAUAACUUCGGGAAACCGGAGCUAAUACCGGAUAAUAUAUUGAACCGCAUGGUUCAAUAGUGAAAGACGGUUUUGCUGUCACUUAUAGAUGGAUCCGCGCCGCAUUAGCUAGUUGGUAAGGUAACGGCUUACCAAGGCAACGAUGCGUAGCCGACCUGAGAGGGUGAUCGGCCACACUGGAACGGAGACACGGACCAGAGUCCUGCGAGAGGCAGCAGUAGGGUAUGUUCCGCAGUAGUCGAAAGCCUUACGGAGCGGCGGCGCGUGAGUGAUGAAGGUCUUCGGAUCGGAAAACUCUGUUAUGAGGGAAGAACAAAUUUGUAAGUAACUAUGCACGGCUUGACGGUACCUAAUCAGAAAGCCACGGCUAACUACGUG